UGGGACGUUGCGAGUUUUCUGAGAGCUGGCUUGCCAGCCCAAAAUAUAAGAACGGGCUUGACCCAGACCCCAAAACUGAUAAGAGAGAUAUGUGUAAGUUGUGUGUACGAUCAUUUGACAUAGCAAACAUGGGUGAAGCGGUGAUAGUCAGUCAUACUGAAGGGAAUAAACACGAAGAGCGCGAGAAAGUAUCAUGAAUGUAGCCGGUGACGUCGUUCUAUGUAUCUUCAACACCCGCGUCUGCAGCCUCCUCAUCAUCAACACCCUCUUCAGCGACAAUAGACACGCAUGAUGCAAGGACACUGGACCCUCAGUAGAUGCUUGAGGACACUGACCAUUGGUAAAAGGAAGAGAAGGGCCAAUAGUUUCGCAAGCAGCACCUCCUCCAAUCAGCGGUGGCAGCACCUACAGGGCCCGACCCACCACUCCACCCCGAUCCGCACAGAUAACCCAGAAAAACGUCCAGCCUGAUGAAGUCAUGGGAAGUCAUGAUUACUAGCACGAUCCAGAGCUGCAGACGCAGGCCAGCAUUAAACCCGGACACCAGCACUUCACCUUCCACAAGCACUUAAUUCACGCACCGUAGGAUCUGUGUCUGUGGCUUUGUGUUUUGUGUGGGUGAUAAAACUGGACUUUUUGGUUGCAGGUCAAACCCGUGGGAUUUUACAAACCGAAGUGAUACACGCCGCUGUAAUCACUUCCAUCAUUAUUAUUUACAGGUGUUUGCCGUAAGGCUCUGCACAUUGUAGUAAUUUA
Long non-coding RNA from Acipenser ruthenus (sterlet), 756 nucleotides. RefSeq lists it as uncharacterized. NCBI's taxonomy places the organism in Eukaryota, Metazoa, Chordata, Actinopteri, Acipenseriformes, Acipenseridae. The transcript has 3 exons. The record is from RefSeq and is a predicted model, not a curated record.